UACAGAGGUCUCAAGCGUUGUUCGGAUUCAUUGGGCGUAAAGGGUGCGUAGGCGGCGCGGUAAGUCGGGUGUGAAAUCUCGGAGCUUAACUCCGAAACUGCAUUCGAUACUGCCGUGCUUGAGGACUGGAGAGGAGACUGGAAUUUACGGUGUAGCGGUGAAAUGCGUAGAUAUCAUCAGGAAUACCGGAGGCGAAGGCGGCUCACUGGGGGUUUUCUGACGCUGAGGAACGAAAGCCAGGGUAGCGAACGGG
This 253-nucleotide ribosomal RNA is filed under the name uncultured bacterium. RNAcentral describes it as "partial 16S ribosomal RNA". It matches the Rfam family "Bacterial small subunit ribosomal RNA", at positions 524 to 776 of the family's 1533-position model. The record is from RNAcentral.